Molecule: ribosomal RNA, 248 nt
Filed under: uncultured bacterium
Lineage: Bacteria
Description: partial 16S ribosomal RNA
Rfam family: Bacterial small subunit ribosomal RNA
Source: RNAcentral
UAACACGUAGGGUGCGAGCGUUGUCCGGAAUUAUUGGGCGUAAAGAGCUCGUAGGCGGUGUGUCGCGUCGGCCGUGAAAACCUGCAGCUUAACUGUGGGCUUGCGGUCGAUACGGGCAUCACUGGAGUUCGGCAGGGGAGACUGGAAUUCCUGGUGUAGCGGUGAAAUGCGCAGAUAUCAGGAGGAACACCGGUGGCGAAGGCGGGUCUCUGGGCCGAUACUGACGCUGAGGAGCGAAAGCGUGGGGA